Molecule: ribosomal RNA, 254 nt
Filed under: uncultured bacterium
Lineage: Bacteria
Description: partial 16S ribosomal RNA
Rfam family: Bacterial small subunit ribosomal RNA
Source: RNAcentral
GACAGAGGGGGCAAGCGUUGUUCGGAAUUACUGGGCGUAAAGCGCGCGUAGGCGGUUUUGCAAGCCAGAGGUGAAAUGCCUGAGCUCAACUUAGGAAUUGCCUUUGGGACUGCGAGGCUUUGAGGACUGGAGAGGUGAGUGGAAUUCCCAGUGUAGAGGUGAAAUUCGUAGAUAUUGGGAAGAACACCGGUGGCGAAGGCGGCUCACUGGCCAGUUUCUGACGCUGCAGCGCGAAAGCGUGGGGAUCAAACAGG